RNAcentral lists this ribosomal RNA (403 nucleotides) under uncultured bacterium. Its description in RNAcentral is "partial 16S ribosomal RNA". It matches the Rfam family "Bacterial small subunit ribosomal RNA", at positions 30 to 526 of the family's 1533-position model. The record is from RNAcentral.
AUUGAACGCUAGCGGCAGGCCUAACACAUGCAAGUCGGGCCAGCGGCGGACGGGUGAGUAAUGUAUGGGGACUGCCUGAUGGCGGGGGAUAACUACUGGAAACGGUAGCUAAUAACGCAUACCAUACGAUAACCAGUAUGGGAUUAGCUAGUAGGUAAGGUAACGGCUUACCUAGGCGACGAUACCUAGCUGGUCUGAGAGGAUGAUCAGCCACACUGGGACUGAGAUACGGCCCAGACUCCUACGGAGGCCGCAGUGGGGAAAAUUGCACAAUGGGCGCAAGCCUGAUGCAGCCAUGCCGCGUGUAUGAAGAAGGCCUUCGGGUUGUAAAGUACUUUCAGUCGUGAGGCGUUACCGACAGAAGAAGCACCGGCUAACUCCGUGCCAGCCGCCGCGGUAAUUC